GGAUGUCCGCCAUCUAUUCAUUGAAUCCGCCGAAGAAAAGUUUUGGAUCGACGGCGGUUCGAAAUUACUUUCGAUGACGGUGUUUAGAUGGCGGAAAUCCGUCAUCUAAACUAUCCCGCCCAAAAUUUCGAAUGGCCCCCAAUUUUCAGCCCGAUUACCCGAUUAAAUUGACUUAACAUGGCAGAUGUCCGCCAUGUUAUGUUUUCGGGGAAUCGGGCGGAAAAAGCCCGCCCAAAUUUCGAUUGGGCGGACUUUCACUUUAGUGCUGACGGCACUUAAGUGUACUUACAUGACGGAAAUCCGCCAUGUAAGUUUUGGGGUUUAUUAAAAACCCCAAAUCAGAACAGACGCGUUGUCUGUUCUUUUGGAAAUCCCUCACCGCCGCUCGUCGUCGCCGUCAGCGUUCGCCGGUCACGCCGCCGUGUCCUCGCCGGUCUUCACUGUCAGUCUCCGUGUCUUCGCCGGUAGCCGAUCUCCAUUCCGAUUCCUCAACUUUGAAGGUAGUUUCUAAUUUUUUAACGUUUUUUGUUUUUCCUAAUUUUUUCAUCCUUAAUUUGUCAUCUCUUCAUUGUUUGUUUAAUGUUAUUCUAUAUAUCUAUCUAUCUUUAUCUAUUUUUUUAUGUUUAUGUUUAUCCAUAUUGUUUAGAUUCAAUAUUUAUCUAUCUACUAUUUAGGCUUAAGUUGAAGUAUUUUCUGUUUAGAUGUUUGAAUGAAUGUAUGUAUCUGUUGAUUUAGUAUUGUUUGAAUGUAUGUAUGAAUGAAAUAGUAUUGUUUGCUGUUGAUUUAGUAUCUGAAAUAAUAUUGUUUGAAAUAGUAUUCAUUUAGGAAAGAAAUUUGUUUAGUUAUCGUGUUGAUUGUUUUUGAUAAGUGUUGGGUUUUUGAAUAAGUGUUUAGUUAUCGUGUUUUUGAUAAGUGUUUAGUUAUCGUGUUGUUGAUUUAUGGGUUUGAUUUAUGUUUUUUUAGUUAUUGUGUUGAUUGUUAGUUUGAUGUUUUUAUAGUGAGUUAUUGUUUGUUGGGUUUUUGAUGUAUGAAUAAGAAUUUUUCAUGUUUGGUUUUUUAUAUGUUAAGAAUUUCAAUGAUUUCAUAAGAAUUUGAAUGAUAUGUUAAGAAUUUCAUAUUGUUUUAAUUUCAAUGAUUUAGACAUUGGAAUUGUUUGUUGAUGGUUUGUUUAUUAAGAUAAAAUUUUAUGUUGUAGAUUAAAUAAUGGAAACUUUGUUGAUGUUUGUUAUUAACUUUGUUGAUGUUGAUCGUGAUGGUACUUUGUAUGUGUUGUUUGGGUAUAAUUUUAUUUAUACGGUUUAAUUUUGUGAUAUGUUAUUUGAUUAUCAUAAUGAAAUGUACUUAUUUGAUUAUCCGGUAGCCGACUCCGCUUCGAAGGUCGUCUCCGCUAGCCACCACCUCCGUCCUGAUUUGAUCCCGUCGCCGUUCUUGG
This 1432-nucleotide long non-coding RNA is filed under the name Zostera marina. RNAcentral describes it as "long non-coding RNA (ZMAR_LNC003696)". The record is from RNAcentral. Lineage: Eukaryota; Viridiplantae; Streptophyta; Magnoliopsida; Alismatales; Zosteraceae.